AAGAAAGUGACAGAGCGGUUAUGUAAUUGGCUUGAAACCAAUCUAGGGGGGUUCGACUCCUCCUUUUCUCG
Molecule: transfer RNA, 71 nt
Filed under: Pseudanthias huchtii (red-cheeked fairy basslet)
Lineage: Eukaryota; Metazoa; Chordata; Actinopteri; Perciformes; Anthiadidae
Description: tRNA-Ser
Rfam family: tRNA
About the family: Transfer RNA (tRNA) molecules are approximately 80 nucleotides in length.
Source: RNAcentral